RNAcentral lists this ribosomal RNA (254 nucleotides) under uncultured bacterium. RNAcentral describes it as "partial 16S ribosomal RNA". It matches the Rfam family "Bacterial small subunit ribosomal RNA", at positions 524 to 776 of the family's 1533-position model. The record is from RNAcentral.
UACGUAGGUGGCAAGCGUUGUUCGGAAUUAUUGGGCGUAAAGGGCGCGUAGGCGGCCACCGCAAGUCGACUGUGAAAUCUCCGGGCUUAACCCGGAAAGGUCAGCCGAUACUGCGGGGCUAGAGUGCAGAAGGGGCAACUGGAAUUCUCGGUGUAGCGGUGAAAUGCGUAGAUAUCGAGAGGAACACCUGCGGCGAAGGCGGGUUGCUGGGCUGACACUGACGCUGAGGCGCGAAAGCUAGGGGAGCAAACAGG